Molecule: ribosomal RNA, 588 nt
Filed under: uncultured Caryophanaceae bacterium
Lineage: Bacteria; Bacillati; Bacillota; Bacilli; Caryophanales; Caryophanaceae
Description: bacterial SSU rRNA
Rfam family: Bacterial small subunit ribosomal RNA
Source: RNAcentral
CCUACGGGAGGCAGCAGUAGGGAAUCUUCCGCAAUGGACGAAAGUCUGACGGAGCAACGCCGCGUGAGUGACGAAGGUUUUCGGAUCGUAAAACUCUGUUGUGAGGGAAGAACAAGUACCAACUAACUACUGGUACCUUGACGGUACCUCACCAGAAAGCCACGGCUAACUACGUGCCAGCAGCCGCGGUAAUACGUAGGUGGCAAGCGUUGUCCGGAAUUAUUGGGCGUAAAGCGCGCGCAGGCGGUCCCUUAAGUCUGAUGUGAAAGCCCACGGCUCAACCGUGGAGGGUCAUUGGAAACUGGGGGACUUGAGUGCAGAAGAGGAAAGUGGAAUUCCACGUGUAGCGGUGAAAUGCGUAGAGAUGUGGAGGAACACCAGUGGCGAAGGCGACUUUCUGGUCUGUAACUGACGCUGAGGCGCGAAAGCGUGGGGAGCAAACAGGAUUAGAUACCCUGGUAGUCCACGCCGUAAACGAUGAGUGCUAGGUGUUGGAGGGUUUCCGCCCUUCAGUGCUGAAGCUAACGCAUUAAGCACUCCGCCUGGNGAGUACGGCCGCAGGGCUGAAACUCAAAUGAAUUGACGGGG